CAGGAGAAGACAAGAAGAUGGAGACAGUCAACCUAGAACCAGUAAUGACCAGUUCCAACUUAAUUGCAGAAAGGGAGAAAAGAUCAAUCAUUUAAGUUGCUUCAUCGUCUAAAUAAAAGUGUUUUGGCUGAUGAAACAUG
Molecule: long non-coding RNA, 140 nt
Filed under: Pongo abelii (Sumatran orangutan)
Lineage: Eukaryota; Metazoa; Chordata; Mammalia; Primates; Hominidae
Description: lincRNA
Source: RNAcentral